This 87-nucleotide unclassified non-coding RNA is filed under the name Pseudomonas koreensis. The record is from RNAcentral. Lineage: Bacteria; Pseudomonadati; Pseudomonadota; Gammaproteobacteria; Pseudomonadales; Pseudomonadaceae.
GUAGGAGUGAGCCUGCUCGCGAUCACGGUGUGUCAGCUAUAUAUCGUUCGACUGACACGACCUCAUCGCGAGCAGGCUCACUCCUAC